Molecule: ribosomal RNA, 371 nt
Filed under: Listeria monocytogenes
Lineage: Bacteria; Bacillati; Bacillota; Bacilli; Caryophanales; Listeriaceae
Description: bacterial SSU rRNA
Rfam family: Bacterial small subunit ribosomal RNA
Source: RNAcentral
UUUAAAGAGAGUUUGAUCCUGGCUCAGGACGAACGCUGGCGGCGUGCCUAAUACAUGCAAGUCGAACGAACGGAGGAAGAGCUUGCUCUUCCAAAGUUAGUGGCGGACGGGUGAGUAACACGUGGGCAACCUGCCUGUAAGUUGGGGAUAACUCCGGGAAACCGGGGCUAAUACCGAAUGAUAAAGUGUGGCGCAUGCCACGCUUUUGAAAGAUGGUUUCGGCUAUCGCUUACAGAUGGGCCCGCGGUGCAUUAGCUAGUUGGUAGGGUAAUGGCCUACCAAGGCAACGAUGCAUAGCCGACCUGAGAGGGUGAUCGGCCACACUGGGACUGAGACACGGCCCAGACUCCUACGGGAGGCAGCAGUAGGGA